RNAcentral lists this ribosomal RNA (285 nucleotides) under uncultured bacterium. Its description in RNAcentral is "partial 16S ribosomal RNA". It matches the Rfam family "Bacterial small subunit ribosomal RNA", at positions 28 to 305 of the family's 1533-position model. The record is from RNAcentral.
GAUGAACGCUAGCGGCAGGCUUAAUACAUGCAAGUCGAGGGGCAGCAGGACUGUAGCAAAUACAGUUGCUGGCGACCGGCAAACGGGUGCGGAACACGUACGCAAUCUACCCAGAACUGAUGAAUAGCCCUCCGAAAGGAGGAUUAAUACAUCGUAACAUAAUGAAGUGGCAUCACUUUUAUUAUUAUAGCUCCGGCGGUUUUGGAUGAGCGUGCGCCUGAUUAGGUAGUUGGCGGGUAACGGCCCACCAAGCCUUCGAUCAGUAACUGGUGUGAGAGCACGACC